GGGGGAUAUUGCACAAUGGAGGAAACUCUGAUGCAGCGACGCCGCGUGAGGGAAGACGGUUUUCGGAUUGUAAACCUCUGUCUUCAGGGACGAAAUGAAUGACGGUACCUGAGGAGGAAGCUCCGGCUAACUACGUGCCAGCAGCCGCGGUAAUACGUAGGGAGCAAGCGUUGUCCGGAAUUACUGGGUGUAAAGGGAGCGUAGGCGGGAAUGCAAGUUGAAUGUCAAAUCUACCGGCUUAACUGGUAGCCGCGUUCAAAACUGCGUUUCUUGAGUGAAGUAGAGGUAGGCGGAAUUCCCGGUGUAGCGGUGAAAUGCGUAGAGAUCGGGAGGAACACCAGUGGCGAAGGCGGCCUACUGGGCUUUAACUGACGCUGAGGCACGAAAGUGUGGGUAGCAAACAGGAUUAGAUACCCUGGUAGUCCACACUGUAAACGAUGAUUACUAGGUGUGGGGGGUCUAACCCCCUCCGUGCCGGAGUUAACACAAUAAGUAAUCCACCUGGGGAGUACGACCGCAAGGUUGAAACUCAAAGGAAUUGACGGGGGCCCGCACAAGCAGUGGAGUAUGUGGUUUAAUUCGACGCAACGCGAAGAACCUUACCAGGUCUUGACAUCCAACUAACGAAGCAGAGAUGCGUUAGGUGCCCUUCGGGGAAAGUUGAGACAGGUGGUGCAUGGUUGUCGUCAGCUCGUGUCGUGAGAUGUUGGGUUAAGUCCCGCAACGAGCGCAACCCUUGUGAUUAGUUGCUACGCAAGAGCACUCUAAUCAGACUGCCGUUGACAAAACGGAGGAAGGUGGGGACGACGUCAAAUCAUCAUGCCCUUUAUGACCUGGGCUACACACGUACUACAAUGGUCGUUAACAGAGGGAAGCAAUACCGCGAGGUGGAGCAAAACCCUAAAAACGGUCUCAGUUCAGAUUGUAGGCUGCAACUCGCCUACAUGAAGUUGGAAUUGCUAGUAAUCGCGGAUCAGCAUGCCGCGGUGAAUACGUUCCCG
This 1001-nucleotide ribosomal RNA is filed under the name uncultured bacterium. Its description in RNAcentral is "bacterial SSU rRNA". It matches the Rfam family "Bacterial small subunit ribosomal RNA", at positions 356 to 1376 of the family's 1533-position model. The record is from RNAcentral.